This 909-nucleotide ribosomal RNA is filed under the name uncultured bacterium. RNAcentral's name for it is "bacterial SSU rRNA". It matches the Rfam family "Bacterial small subunit ribosomal RNA", at positions 8 to 916 of the family's 1533-position model. The record is from RNAcentral.
AGAGUUUGAUCCUGGCUCAGGACGAACGCUGGCGGCGUGCUUAACACAUGCAAGUCGAACGAGAAUCUACGGAUCGAGGAUUCGUCCAAGUGAAGUAGAGGACAGUGGCGGACGGGUGAGUAACGCGUGAGGAACCUGCCUUUCAGAGGGGGACAACAGUUGGAAACGACUGCUAAUACCGCAUGACACAUUGAGGUCGCAUGGCCUUAAUGUCAAAGAUUUAUCGCUGAAAGAUGGCCUCGCGUCUGAUUAGCUAGUUGGUGAGGUAACGGCCCACCAAGGCGACGAUCAGUAGCCGGACUGAGAGGUUGACCGGCCACAUUGGGACUGAGAUACGGCCCAGACUCCUACGGGAGGCAGCAGUGGGGAAUAUUGGGCAAUGGGCGCAAGCCUGACCCAGCAACGCCGCGUGAAGGAAGAAGGCUUUCGGGUUGUAAACUUCUUUUGUCAGGGACGAGUAGAAGACGGUACCUGACGAAUAAGCCACGGCUAACUACGUGCCAGCAGCCGCGGUAAUACGUAGGUGGCAAGCGUUGUCCGGAUUUACUGGGUGUAAAGGGCGUGUAGCCGGGAAGGCAAGUCAGAUGUGAAAUCCACGGGCUCAACUCGUGAACUGCAUUUGAAACUGUUUUUCUUGAGUAUCGGAGAGGCAAUCGGAAUUCCUAGUGUAGCGGUGAAAUGCGUAGAUAUUCGGAGGAACACCAGUGGCGAAGGCGGCUUGCUGGGCUUUAACUGACGCUGAGGCUCGAAAGUGUGGGGAGCAAACAGGAUUAGAUACCCUGGUAGUCCACACUGUAAACGAUGAUAGCUAGGUGUGGGGGGUCUGACCCCUUCCGUGCCGGAGUUAACGCAAUAAGCUAUCCACCUGGGGAGUACGACCGCAAGGUUGAAACUCAAAGGAAUUGACGG